UCGCACCUACCGAUUGAGUGGUCCGGUGAAGACUCCGGAUUGUGGUUGUUUCCUUUAUUGGGAAUGACCGUGAGAAGUUGUCUGAACCUUAUCACUUAGAGGAAGGUG
RNAcentral lists this ribosomal RNA (108 nucleotides) under uncultured eukaryote. RNAcentral describes it as "partial small subunit ribosomal RNA". It matches the Rfam family "Eukaryotic small subunit ribosomal RNA", at positions 1676 to 1785 of the family's 1831-position model. The record is from RNAcentral.